This 253-nucleotide ribosomal RNA is filed under the name uncultured bacterium. Its description in RNAcentral is "partial 16S ribosomal RNA". It matches the Rfam family "Bacterial small subunit ribosomal RNA", at positions 524 to 776 of the family's 1533-position model. The record is from RNAcentral.
UACGUAGGGGGCUAGCGUUGUCCGGAAUCAUUGGGCGUAAAGGGCUCGUAGGCGGCCAACUAAGUCCGACGUGAAAUCCCAAGGCUUAACCUUGGAACUGCGUCGGAUACUGGAUGGCUUGAAUUCGGGAGAGGGAUGCAGAAUUCCAGGUGUAGCGGUGAAAUGCGUAGAUAUCUGGAGGAACACCGGUGGCGAAGGCGGCGUUCUGGACUGCAACUGACACUGAUGAACGAAAGCCAGGGGAGCAAACGGG